Molecule: long non-coding RNA, 1834 nt
Organism: Vicia villosa (hairy vetch)
Lineage: Eukaryota; Viridiplantae; Streptophyta; Magnoliopsida; Fabales; Fabaceae
Exons: 8
Source: RefSeq, a predicted model, not a curated record
CCUAAAAUUUCUUGAAACCGUAAAAAGUUAUGAUUACACACUGUUCUUCUUCUGCAUACAUAAGCCUCACAUGCUACCUUUUCGCUCUUCUUCCUUCAUACACGUUUCCUACUAUCUCUCUCAAAAGAUUUUAUACUUCUCUGUUUAUCUUUCCAAAUAACAACAAAUUGAUUCUUCCAACAAUCAUCUGCUCUCAAGUUUGCAAGUUCUCGCAAUGGCAAGACCUUCCGAGAAGCUGAAGGACAUCAAUGAGAGUAAGGAACUAUCCAAAAUCGCCGUCAGAAUCCAUCACAAGUGGACAGUUUUAUCAAAGACCAAGGAGCACUUCGAAUUGAUUCUGGUUGAUAAAGAGGACCAGUGUGUGAAAAUAAUAGCGCAUUUGUUCCAUGCUCCUGUCGGUGCAGAAGAAACAACGGCUGAGUUUUGAUGGCGCAGAUCCCAAGGCUUUUGUUGUAUUGAAAUGCAAGAUAAUCUUUUGUUACCUUUGGGUUUACUGGCCCAUGGAUUCAAAAUCAUAUACUGGCCAUGUCAAAAGUUAUGACAGGGAAGCUAAUAUACAUCAUGUUUACUGGCCCAUGGAUUCAAAAUCAUAUACUGGCCAUGUCAAAAGUUAUGACAGGGAAGCUAAUAUACAUCAUAUCGAGUACGAUAAUGAAGAUAAAUUUAGAUGUACUUAGAAAUAAUGUUCUGAAUGAAGGAUUUGGAUGUGCUUAGAAAUAAUGUUCUGAAGGCAGAAGCUGUAAUUAAAGCAGCAAAGAAGAAAUAUGAUGAAGAAAGUAAUCAAGUGAGUGAGGUUCUGGCUCGAUUUAAGACUGCUGAUGACAUUCGUCAAGAAGCUUUUGUCAAGCUACAGACUUUGAAUAGGAAAUUACACGAGAAGGUUUGAUCUUUCUUUCCUGUCUACUACACUCCUUUUUGUUUUCAGUGUUUCCCUGAGGAAAAAAAUUGUUGCGAGAUAUAUGUUUUGUUUAUCAGAACAGAGCAAACUUUACUCUUGGGUUGUUUCGACAAUUGAUUUUUUCCGCAAGCUUCCCCAAGACGCGGAGAAAGGUGGAAAUCCAACUCACUCACUUUUCGACAGAUAUAACAAUGCUUUUCUUCGUCGAAUUGUUACCACAGUCUUGUCCUAUGUGAACAUGGUAUGUAGUAAUCUCAGGCAUACCAUUCCCAAGUCCGUAGUUUAUUGUCAAGUGCGCGAAGCUAAGCGUAGCUUACUUCAUAAUUUCUUAGGGUGAAUAAAACUCAACCAUUGACUCUGUCUCAUCGCAACUUUCAUUUCCCAAAACACCAUAACAACAACAAUCAUCAAUAAGAACAAGAUCAUCGUCAACAACAACGAGAACAAAGUCAACGUUUGAAGAAGCCUUCAGAAACGCAAAUGCAAGGUGAAUUAGAGUUGCCACCUGGUUUCAGAUUUCAUCCAACCGAUGAAGAAUUGGUGAAUCAUUACUUGUGUAGAAAAUGUGCUGGCCAAUCAAUUUCUAUUCCUGUUGUUAAAGAAGUUGAUUUGUAUAAGUUUGAUCCAUGGCAGCUUCCUGGUACUUCAUUUUUUCACUUAUGAAUCAUUUCUUUUGUUACUUUUCUUUCUAAUUGCAUAUGAAUAAUUUGUUUUUGCUGAUGUAUGCAGAAAUGGGUUAUCACAGUGAGAAAGAAUGGUAAUUUUUCUCUCCGAGGGAUCGAAAAUACCCGAACGGUUCCCGCAUUAGUGUAGAUCCAAAUCUAAUGGUCCAUGCAUUGGUGUGUCAAUGUGUAAGAGCAGGAAGUCGUGUAGAAAAUUCUUGUAUUGUUGCUGGCAUUUUUUCAUAUAUUUGUAAUAUACUUUUCAAUUCAAAGA